RNAcentral lists this ribosomal RNA (500 nucleotides) under uncultured bacterium. RNAcentral describes it as "partial 16S ribosomal RNA". It matches the Rfam family "Bacterial small subunit ribosomal RNA", at positions 30 to 523 of the family's 1533-position model. The record is from RNAcentral.
AUUGAACGCUGGCGGCAGGCCUAACACAUGCAAGUCGAGCGGAUGAAGAGGGCUUGCUCUCUGAUUCAGCGGCGGACGGGUGAGUGAUGCCUAGGAAUCUGCCUGGUAGUGGGGGACAACGUUUCGAAAGGAACGCUAAUACCGCAUACGUCCUACGGGAGAAAGUGGGGGAUCUUCGGACCGCACGCUAUCAGAUGAGCCUAGGUAAGAUUAGCUAGUUGGUGAGGUAAAGGCUCACCAAGGGGACGAACGUUAACUGGUCUGAGAGGAUGAUCAGUCACACUGGAACUGAGACACGGUCCAGACUCCUACGGGAGGCAGCAGUGGGGAAUAUUGGACAAUGGGCGAAAGCCUGAUCCAGCCAUGCCGCGUGUGUGAAGAAGGUCUUCGGAUUGUAAAGCACUUUAAGCUGGGAGGAAGGGCAGUAAGUUAAUACCUUGUUGUUUUGACGUUACCGACAGAAUAAGCACCGGCUAACUUCGUGCCAGCAGCCGCCGUAA